RNAcentral lists this long non-coding RNA (365 nucleotides) under Carica papaya (papaya). Its description in RNAcentral is "long non-coding RNA (CPAP_LNC003803)". The record is from RNAcentral. Lineage: Eukaryota; Viridiplantae; Streptophyta; Magnoliopsida; Brassicales; Caricaceae.
AAAUAGUAUAUUAGCUUGUAGGAUAGUUUAGUCCGUUAAAUCUAUUACUCACUUCAAUUUGUUUCCUGUUAAAUUUGUUACUCACUUCAAUCUCUUUCGAAUUUGUGACUUUCUAUCUAGAUUUGCUUAUAAUUUGUUAAGUGUAGCCCCAUUAGGAACAAAAAGCCAAAAUGCUUUGCCCAUCCAUGCAACUAGCUGCCAUCUAUUCUUCCCAAACUGCAAAACGGCAUCGUUUCAAGCGGAUCAUGCUAACUCCGAUGUGUUAGGGUUUACAUAGACGAGAGAGGGAAGGUCACUUUCUGGACUGAGAGAUCACAGAGCUCAGCAGGGGCAAUUCAGGACAGAGGGAGGAAGCUCACAANNNN